Rhododendron vialii is the source of this 293-nucleotide long non-coding RNA. RefSeq lists it as uncharacterized. NCBI's taxonomy places the organism in Eukaryota, Viridiplantae, Streptophyta, Magnoliopsida, Ericales, Ericaceae. The transcript is spliced from 3 exons. The record is from RefSeq and is a predicted model, not a curated record.
UUCUGUUGAAAGCGUGGACCGAAAUCCGGUGAAGUCAUAAAGACCAUUGCCUGAGACAUUGGAGGAGACUCGGUCAUCAAUCCGGGGAAAACGAUGUAAUGGAUGGAACCAUACUACGAAAAGAAAAUGAAAGAUAAAAAACUAUGCAUUUCAAGUGAGGCCAUAGGCAAUGCUAAUGAGUUCCGAGGUACUAAGCUUUGCAUCGGUGCACUUCCCAUCAGCAUCUCCUGUCAUUUCUUGAUCUUCCUCUGUUCAUGAAGCAACACAAACCAUCAACACGGUCCAGCACUACA